RNAcentral lists this unclassified non-coding RNA (252 nucleotides) under uncultured Paenibacillaceae bacterium. Its description in RNAcentral is "contains 16S-23S intergenic spacer region". It matches the Rfam family "Bacterial small subunit ribosomal RNA", at positions 524 to 776 of the family's 1533-position model. Lineage: Bacteria; Bacillati; Bacillota; Bacilli; Caryophanales; Paenibacillaceae. The record is from RNAcentral.
UACGUAGGUGGCAAGCGUUGUCCGGGAUUAUUGGGCGUAAAGCGCGCGCAGGCGGCUUUGUAAGUCUGGUGUUUAAACCUGGGGCUCAACCUCAGGUCGCAUCGGAAACUGCAAGGCUUGAGUGCAGAAGAGGAAAGUGGAAUUCCACGUGUAGCGGUGAAAUGCGUAGAGAUGUGGAGGAACACCAGUGGCGAAGGCGGGUCUCUGGGCCUUACCUGACGCUGAGGAGCGAAAGCAUGGGGAGCGAACAGG